Molecule: long non-coding RNA, 1051 nt
Organism: Brachypodium distachyon (stiff brome)
Lineage: Eukaryota; Viridiplantae; Streptophyta; Magnoliopsida; Poales; Poaceae
Exons: 2
Source: RefSeq, a predicted model, not a curated record
UGGUGUGUGCACAGACGUCAAGGCACUGCCGACCUGGUCGGGGGAUUGCCUUGCCUGGCUCCUUGGAUGAGGUAGGGGCAAUUUAAUUCGGCAGCUGAAUCUUGUUGUUGUUGCUUCGGUGCAUGCAACAAAAGCCGAAGGAUGUGUUGCUUCGGGCAACACAUGUUGGGGAUUCCGUUUCUGAGUGUGCUUGAUCUGGUGCAAGAUGAGGUUACCAAAAGCCGAAGGAUGCGCUAAGCCGUUGUUUCAGUUUUCAUCAAGCAUUGCAGAGAACUAUACAGUAUCGCUAUGCAACAUGGUUCAACAAAAGGCGAAACUGAGCCGAAGCCACAAGCUAUCACUUUGUUGAUUUGAGCUAGGAAUCACCUAGCUUGGAAUCAUGGCAGAGCUGCAAAUCUUACCGGCUUCACCAACACAAAAUCUGCCUGAUACACACACCGUACAGUUGUCUCCCCAAAGCGCAGCCUUGAUUUCACAGCUCCUCAUGGGCAGCUUGACUCUCACCUCAACUCAACUCCAUGGGGUUCUUUUCCAGGACGAACUUCUUUGGGCAUAAAGGUCCACACGGAUCACAGCCUCCUUUCUUCCAAGCAUUUCGUCAGAUCGAGAUGCAAAGGAUGCACAGAAUGCUUUCGGCAAGCAUAUGGGACAAAGCAAAGUGACCAACAAAGCAAAUGAAUCAUGGAGAUUUUGUAUUAAAGAGCACUUCAGAUCGAAUGAUGAACUGACAAGAAGAGUGCAUCUAAUGCCGUCCAUGUAUCCUAUGUGAAACUGUGAUGACGACGAUAAAGGGCUAAGCUUCCCCCCUCAUCAACAUCAAAUUUUCAAAAAGAACAAACACAUGCCAAAGAAUUGUUAGCUAACCCGUAGAUUUAAAGCUGUGUUAAGAUGUCAAAUAUCUGGUAUAGAUAAUAAUUCAACCCUCCAUUGCAGGUAAUCCAGAGUGUUAUCCGGCUAAUAAUCUGAUCAUCUCAAUACAUGGUAGAAACUGAUGAAAAAUAAGAAGUGCACUUCCUUUCAUCAAGUUCAUCAAUAUAUCAUACGAGACACA